RNAcentral lists this ribosomal RNA (125 nucleotides) under Petromyzon marinus (sea lamprey). The record is from RNAcentral. Lineage: Eukaryota; Metazoa; Chordata; Hyperoartia; Petromyzontiformes; Petromyzontidae.
UCAAGCCAACAAUUUUGACCAACCUUAAAUGGGCCCACUCUUGUCAGAUCUCAGACACUAAGCAGGGUUGAGCCGGUGCAAUACUUGCAUGGGAGACUGCUGGGGACUACCAGGCUUGGCUUACG